CACGCAGGCGGACUGAUAAGUCGGGGGUGAAAGCCCGGGGCUCAACCUCGGAACUGCCUUCGAUACUGCCAGUCUUGAGUCCGGGAGAGGUGAGUGGAAUUCCUAGUGUAGAGGUGAAAUUCGUAGAUAUUAGGAAGAACACCAGUGGCGAAGGCGACUCACUGGCCCGGUACUGACGCUCAGGUGCGAAAGCGUGGGGAGCAAACAGGAUUAGAUACCCUGGUAGUCCACGCCGUAAACGAUGGAUGCUAGCCGUUGGGCAGCUUGCUGUUCAGUGGCGCAGCUAACGCUUUAAGCAUCCCGCCUGGGGAGUACGGCCGCAAGGUUAAA
Molecule: ribosomal RNA, 330 nt
Filed under: uncultured bacterium
Lineage: Bacteria
Description: bacterial SSU rRNA
Rfam family: Bacterial small subunit ribosomal RNA
Source: RNAcentral